ACCCGCCGCGAGCUAGGCAUCGCGGCCGCCCGGGAGAGCCUCUUCCGUGGUCCCAGGGCCGCCCAAACGCAGCCAGAGACCGUCCGUCAACUCCUGCCCCCGCGCGACGCGUAGGCCCUCGUGACGUCACACGGCUUCUUCCGGUGACCGGGACGCAGCCACGCUCGGGACUACAGAGGGAAAGAAGAGAAGGGAGGUGAUAAAAUGUAGAGUAGCCCUAAACUUGGUAGGGCACGACGGGAGUUGUAGUUCUCCCACCUCGCGGGCUCCGUUUACGGGCGGUUUUCCAGGAGUUCAAGCCCCGCGCGCAGCCUAUCCGGGUACACCUUCAGCUGCGCUCAGCUCAGAGGCUGCUGCUGUUCUGGAGGGGGUAUGUUUAAUGCUGGUCCAUGCAUUUGGCGACACACACUGGAGAAUCCCUUGGAAAUGGACUCCAUUAACGUGAAACGGAGCGUUUGAGAGCAACCAGGAAUGACCGCUGUUUACCGAGCACUUUCUCUGAAGCACGCACUGAGCUACGUGCUCUCAGUUAACUACAUUCAUUUAAUCCUGUGAAGUCGGGAUUGUUUAGCCUUAUUUUACAGAUGAGGACACUACAUGCCAACAAAAAAUCUCAACUUGAGGGAUAAAAGGAGCUAACCCUGCAGAGAUCUGGAGAUGGAAGAGAAAGGCUGUGAAGCAAAAAAUGUGCUUGGUAAAGUUGGAAGGAUGGAAGGAGGAGCUGGAAGGUGCCCCCAGUGAAAGAGAAGAAUUGCGGUGGUAGUAAGCAGCAUGUGCAUCCAUAGCACCUUCAUGCCUGGGACGCUGAAGAUUUCAAUCCUGGGUUGCUGUCAUGGUGGUGAUGAGUCUCAGAAAUCUCAGAACCAUGGAGCCUGCAUGUGGCUAAGAGCUUGGGCUCUAACUUCAGAGUCUUAACCCUUAUUUUUGCCUAAGGAAUGUGGUUUUCCUAGACUUCAAACCACUCAGCAUGUGUGGCCUCCAACAGACCUGCAGCCACGGGACUUUUAUGAUCACAUUGGGUCCAGAUGGAUAAUCCAGGACACGCUGCAGAUCUGGUGACAGGAGGUCCAAGACUGGUAUGGUAGCGCCACAACACCAUCCACUGACCCCUUCUGUCUUGCUGUAUACAUACUUCACAAUGACUGUAAGCCUCAAGCAUCAUGUAUGUUUUUCCGGCAAGAAGAAUGAAGUGGAAGAACAGUACCAGAAAAAUGCAGCUUACUCGUCAUUUGCCAGAACUGAGUCAUGAGGGUCACCUCUACCUGCUGGGCGAUCUGAGAAGAUACGUUCGAUUUCUUGCAUCUCUAAAAAGGGAAGGAGAAUGGAAAUCAAUGUUGGAAUGAGUGAGAGCUGCGUUCACCUCCAGAAUGACUGCAACAACUAAGUGAACUUAACCAAGAACUUUGCCCAGUUACUGAAGAUCAGGUGCCAGGUGCUAGAAUUUUAGUGGACUACUUGCUGCACGUGUUCUAAGAUACCUGGUGACAGGUUAGGUGCAGCUUCCACUCUCUUCCUUUCUGCAGGGCUCAGGCACAAGAGAGGAGAUUGAAUCCGGGGCAGACAGCUUCACAUUAGGGCACCCCCCCCCUCUAUUCCCUACCUGUGUGUAAUCCCAUGCUUGUUGUACAGUCUCUUCAGGAGUAAAUGCCAAGUCACAUGCCUCCCAGCACAGCUGCAACUCAUUAGUCAGAGAUUUCACAACGAAUGCUUCUGUAAACCAGGUGCAAUCUGACCCGCUAACAUUCCACAUUUAUCUUACUUUGCUACAUUCUUGGGAAUAGAGUGGCAAGAAGGCAAAUCUAAGGUCAUAUCCCCGGAGUCCCUGGGUCUGAUGUAUGAGUUCAUGCCUGCUGAAAACCCUUUUCUUGCAGUAACCGGGUACUUAAAAAAUAGUGUCCCUUUCUUCCUCUUGAAUUCGGAAUCGGUCGAAAGAGAGAUUCAGACAAAUGAAGGUCAAACUGUUACCUUAAUAAAGCUGACUAGAAGACGUG
Long non-coding RNA from Ailuropoda melanoleuca (giant panda), 1991 nucleotides. RefSeq lists it as uncharacterized. The transcript is spliced from 4 exons. Lineage: Eukaryota; Metazoa; Chordata; Mammalia; Carnivora; Ursidae. The record is from RefSeq and is a predicted model, not a curated record.